This 359-nucleotide ribosomal RNA is filed under the name Thunnus albacares (yellowfin tuna). RNAcentral describes it as "partial 12S ribosomal RNA". It matches the Rfam family "Bacterial small subunit ribosomal RNA", at positions 1019 to 1533 of the family's 1533-position model. Lineage: Eukaryota; Metazoa; Chordata; Actinopteri; Scombriformes; Scombridae. The record is from RNAcentral.
CCCUCCCUUGUUUCUCCCGCCUAUAUACCGCCGUCGUCAGCUUACCCUGUGAAGGUCUAAUAGUAAGCAAAAUUGGCACCGCCCAGAACGUCAGGUCGAGGUGUAGCGCAUGAGAGGGGAAGAAAUGGGCUACAUUCGCUAACAUAGCGAAUACGAACGAUGCACUGAAAACGUUCAUCUGAAGGAGGAUUUAGCAGUAAGUGGAAAAUAGAGUGUUCCACUGAAAUCGGCUCUGAAGUGCGUACACACCGCCCGUCACUCUCCCCAAGCUUACCAAUUUAUAUAUCUAAAACGCUUUAACUGCGAAGGGGAGGCAAGUCGUAACAUGGUAAGUGUACCGGAAGGUGCACUUGGAAAAA